UGGGGAAUAUUGCACAAUGGGCGCAAGCCUGAUGCAGCAACGCCGCGUGAACGAUGAAGGUCUUCGGAUCGUAAAGUUCUGUUGCAGGGGAAGAUAAUGACGGUACCCUGUGAGGAAGCCCCGGCUAACUACGUGCCAGCAGCCGCGGUAAUACGUAGGGGGCUAGCGUUAUCCGGAUUUACUGGGCGUAAAGGGUGCGUAGGUGGUCUUUCAAGUCGGUGGUUAAAGGCUACGGCUCAACCGUAGUUAGCCUCCGAAACUGGAAGACUUGAGUGCAGGAGAGGAAAGUGGAAUUCCCAGUGUGGCGGUGAAAUGCGUAGAUAUUGGGAGGAACACCAGUAGCGAAGGCGGCUUUCUGGACUGCAACUGACACUGAGGCACGAAAGCGUGGGUAGCAAACAGG
Molecule: ribosomal RNA, 403 nt
Filed under: Verrucomicrobiota bacterium
Lineage: Bacteria; Pseudomonadati; Verrucomicrobiota
Description: Verrucomicrobia bacterium partial 16S ribosomal RNA
Rfam family: Bacterial small subunit ribosomal RNA
Source: RNAcentral